Long non-coding RNA from Antechinus flavipes (yellow-footed antechinus), 6694 nucleotides. RefSeq lists it as uncharacterized. NCBI's taxonomy places the organism in Eukaryota, Metazoa, Chordata, Mammalia, Dasyuromorphia, Dasyuridae. The record is from RefSeq and is a predicted model, not a curated record. The transcript has 2 exons.
UUAGAAAGGUACCACGCGUGGAUUACCCAUUUUCCAAGAAUUAGAAUAUAAUAAAACACUCUUAACAGUGAAACUACAUGAAGCCUAAUUGAAUCUUUCUUUGAUGAUUCAAAAGACACUUCAGCUUCUUGCGGAGCCUCCAGGCCGUCAUUAUGAAUGUCAGUUAUCAUUGUGCCGUAGACAUGGAGGAGUGCGGGCUAAUGGGAAGGUCUGCUUAGCAGAUGCCCGGGAAGCAGGGGGCUGGGGGUGCUUCCUGCGGGGGCGUCUCCCGGCACCCAUCGCGCAGGAAGAGCGUGGGGCCCGGUGGGCACGUGGUGGUCUUGUGUCAGACGCUACAGUGCUGUUGGACAAACCCAGGAACGAGGGAGUGUGUGCUUGCCCGUACAUGCGUGUGCCCGGGCGGGUUGUCUAAGCGACCCUAAACAAGUCACCGGAUUACUAUGGGUCUGUUUUCCUACCUAGAAAAGGGGAGGGUCGGACGAGAUCUGUGGUGUCAAAUUGGAAUGGAAAUGAGAGCCGGGGAACCGUCCAUAAGGAUCCUUGCCUUGCAUUGUGACUUGGAAAACCUCAUAUUAACAUUAUCUUUUAUGGUAUUUUAAUUUUUUCAUUAAAUAUUAAAUUUAUUGAUUUAUUUGUAAAUAUUAUUUAUAUAUUAUGAAUAAAUAUUCAUUCUUGCUUUCUGAUCUGGUUCUGGAGCACUGAAGAUCACGUAUUUGAUAUCUGUGGGGACCUUUCUGACUUGAAAUUGAUGAUCUAUCCUAAUUCUAGAAUCCAAGGAUCAUUGACUCUAGAACCAUGCGGUCCAGACUUAGAACUGGAAGAGAUCUUAGAACCCCAGAGUAUGGGGGCCGGGAAGGACUUUAGAACACAGUAGCAGGCAGUCGGAGUUAAGUGACAUGUCCAAGAUUAUUCUGCUGUAAGUGUCAAAGGUCUAUUGGUGGAUUUGAGCUCCUCCUGACUCCCAGCCUGCCAGCCACUGCACAGCCCGGUGGAGACGGGCGGAACCUGGGCGUCAGGAGCAUCCUUGAGGUCUUGUUCAGCAGCUGCAGAGGAGGAGGAAGCCAGUCCUGACGCAUUUCUUGUGUCCCUACUAUGUGCUAAGCACUGGGAAUACAGAGGCAAAAAUACCUAGGGUGGGAGGGGCAUCGAUUCAGUCAGAAGUGACUGCAGACGCCACGUGGUCCCCUUAUUCCUAAACCAAAGAAGCUGAAUCCUACAGAGCUUCAAAGAUCAUUCUGGGAACCCGUAAGCGAGCGAGGAUUCUCGUUCCCGGUGACCCAGAGAAUUGUCUGCAGCGUUCACUCAGGGAGAACGCCUCCGUUCUCGGGGGCAUGUGGUUGAGUCCAUGCACCUGCCCCAAGUUGGCCCUGACCUUUCCGUCUGCAAAGUAGGGGUCUCCGACACUGCAAAGAAGAGACAAUUUUUAAAAAUUUAACUCAGUAGCAGUGGUGGUCAAACAUUUGGCUUAAUUCUUUGUGACCCCAUUUGGGGUUUUCUCACCAUCUCCUUCUCUAGCUCAUUUGACAGAUGAGGAAACCGAGGCAGGCAGGGUCGAGGGACUUACCCAGGGUCACCCAGCUAGACCAUGUCUGAGACAGGAUUUGAACCUUUCUGAUUUCAGACCAGCACUCCCCGCACUAUGGCGCCACCUGGCUGCCUUAAGAGCAGUGUAAUCAGAUGCAUAUCAUUUUGUGGGUUUUUUUUUUUUUAAAUCCAAAACGUCCUAAAUUUAUUAAAAAAUCUUUAAAUUUUAUUUUACUGAUUUAGCAGAUGGUUACAGAGGCAUUGUGGGACAGUGGAACUAAUAAUAAUGACUAAUGUUUAUGUGUAAGCUCAAGGCUUAUUUAUAAUGCACUGUACAGAUAUUAUCUAUUGUCCUAAUUCCAUAUAUUAUCUAUUUUACCCUAACACUGUCCCUGAGAGGGGGUCAUUUCAUAGGUGAGUGAACUGAGGAAGCCAGAAAUGAUGUGAUUUCCCGAAGAGCACUUAGCUAGCAGAGCCAGAAUCUGAACUCAUCUUGCUCUGUAAUUGUACCCCCCGGCUGGAAAGUCAGGCCCUGAGAGAACAGAGACCUGCUUCUCAGGCCUGGCCCUCCCACCAGGGAUCUCUGUGACCAGCAAUAAUGCUGUAUUCAGCACAUAGUAGGUGCUUCCUUGAAUGCUGGCUGUGACUCCCUCCCUCCAGGGGUCUCUGUGACCAGCAAUGAUUCAGCACAUAGUAGGUACUUCCUUGAAUGCUGACUGUGGUUCCCUCCUUCCAGGGAUCUCUGUGACCAGCAAUAAUGCUGUAUUCAGCACAUAGUAGGUGCUUCCUUGAAUGCUGACUGUGAUUCCCUCCCUCCAGGGAUCUCUGUGACCAGCAAUAAUACUAUAUUCAGCACAUAGUAGGGGCUUUCUUGAAUGCUGACUGUGAUUCCAUCCCAUCAGAGAUCUCUGUGGUUGCAAUGAUUGAGCAUAUAGUAGGUGCUUCUUUGAAUGCUGACUGUGACUCCCUCCCACCAGGGUCUCUGUGAUUAGCAGUAACAUUGUGCCCAGUACAUAGUAGGUGCUUCCUUGAAUGCUGGCUGUGAUUCCCUCCCACCACUGGUCUCUGUGACCAGCAUUGAUUCAGUACAUAGUAGGUGCUUCUGUGAAAGCUGUAACUCCCUCCUUCUAGGGGUUUCUGUGAUUAGCAAUAAGCCAGCUCAUAGUAGAUGCUUCCUUGAAUGCUGGCUGUGACUCCCUCCCUCCAGGGGUUUCUGUGAUUAGCAGUAACUCAGCACGUAGUAGGUGCUUCCUUGAAUGCUGGCUGUGAUUCCCUCCCACCACUGGUCUCUGUGACCAGCAUUGAUUCAGUACAUAGUAGGUGCUUCUUUGAAAGCUGUAACUCCCUCCUUCUAGGGGUUUCUGUGAUUAGCAAUAACCCAGCGCAUAGUAGGUGCUUUCUUGAUUGCUGACUGUAGCUCCAGACAUAUCCUUUCUGAUUUCUGCCAGAUGCAGGGGUUUGACUGGUCGCCCUUCCAGGUCCCAGUUCCAAGACCUUCUGAGAUGCGAUGAAAUCUCUCGGGCUGGUUUUCGGUGCUGUUUUCCCUGCUCUCGCGGGGGAGCCUGGGUGAGGAGGUGAUUGUCCAGGAGGGUCUUGGAUGUGGCCAGGAAGGAGCUGGUGCGUCUGGGUCUGGUCCCUUUCGCAUCUUUGUCUGAGCCAGCUGCCCUUUCACCACCAUUGGCUGAGCCCCAGGCUUGGACCCUCCCCAGCACAAGUGGCCAGGAAAGGGGCCUUGGGCCCGUGUUGGAGGCAGCUCUCCCAGCUCUGCCCUCCCAGACCCUCCUCAUCCCAUUCCCGACUUCUCCUUCACUUUGUCUUCUGGAUCUUGGACCACUCGCCUUGCUCAGCCUUUUACUUUGGUCAGUCCAGCAAUAAGCACUAAUUAAGCACCUGCUGUGUACUGGGCACCGUGCUAAGUGCAGCCGGUGCACAAAGAGGCAAAAGUCAGAUUCUGCUCUCCAGAAGUUUGCAGCUGAAGGCAGGCUGCCUGCUCUGAUUUAAUCGGGGCACGGGCUUGCUCUGACCCCGUCAGGUACAUUUUCUCACCCUUGGCUCUGUGGAACACUGGAAACAGUGCUGGAUCUGAGUCAGAGGUCCUUGGUUCAAAUUGUGACUUUCCUAGCACUGAUUAGUGGUUAAUAUUACUAAACUAGCAUUUAUAGGGCACUUUACAAAUAUCUCUUUUUAUCCUUUGAGGUUGAAGCUACGUUACCCCAUUUUAUAGAUGAGCAAGCUGAGGCAGACAGAUUUAGUCAGGAAGCCUCUGAGGCUAGAUUUGAACUCAGGCCUCCCAGACUCCCAGUCCUCCAGACUUUGCUGCUUCAUACCUGGAUGAUGCAGUGGAUGGAGCCCUGGCCCCGAGGCAGGAGGGCCUGAGUUCAAAAAUGGCCCCAGACGCUUAACACUUGCUGGCUGCGUGACCCUGGCGAGUCCCUUAACCCCACCUUGUGACCUGACUCCUGUGGGCCUGCGUUUCCAGUAAAAUGUUAGACCAGACUCCGGUGUGGCAGUAAUGGCUGGGGGCCUCGGUUGCUUGUCUGUCAGUGGGUGAGGGGGCUUAGAUGCAAGGUCGCUUUCUGCUUCUCCCCGCCUGUGAUUCUAGACUUCUCCUCGGCUUCCCCUUCACCCCGUGUUCUGAGUCAGGGUCUCAGUGACCAUCAGGAGGCCUUGGUCCCUGGCUGGGUGACCUUCCCCCUCUGCGGGCCUCAGUUUCCUCACCUGUCCAAUGGGCGCGCUGCCGACCUGUCAGAAUCACGCGGAGGUUGCCGUGAUGGAAGGCUCCCCGGGCCAGCUCGGGGCCUUCCCCGCUCGGCCUGGUUUGGGAGCUCCUCUGGGCCGGCCCACGCCCUGGGCUGCGCCCUCAGCUCCGCGAGCCGGUGCCAUCCCUAGCACCGGGGGCCGGGCCGCUGACCAGCGGAGAGGAGGUGGGAGGAGAGCGUCUGUGAGCCUCACCUUGGUUGUCAGGGUUUUCCUGGGGGCUGGCGAGUAUUUCCAGGCUCCAUAAAUCAUCCCCCCUCCCCAGGAGCGCGGACCUCGGCGAGCCCUAAUUAUGCAGUUAGGCACAAGGAAAUGAGGCUCCCGGGCUCCCGGCUCCGAGAUUUCCUUUGGCGCGGCUCUCGCCCGGCUCCCGGCGUGCUCUCUUUCUCCUGGCCGGGCCCGCAUUUAUCUUUCCUGCAGCAGUGUUUAAAGUGAAGAGGGAGUAUCAGGAGAGUUUGAUAGGAUCCAAUUAAAUUCCUGCAGAUAAAAUAAUGAUGAAUUGCAGUUGAGCCCCAGCGAGACAUGAUGUACAUUACUUCAGUCCCCAAAGAGCUGGAGAGGAGUUGAGGUCAUCAACGACAGAAAAAUAGGACACAGCUGCAGCCGCUCCCCAGUUAGAGGGAUGCCGGGAGGGGAGGGGGCUCACCUGAGUGCAGGAGCCUGCGGGGGAGGGCCGGGGGUCUGGGAAGAGCCCAUGCCAGCGAAAGUGUGUGUGUCUGAGAGAGAGGGAAGGAAGAGAGAAGAGGGGAGAGAAACAGCAAAGAGAGAGAAAGAAGGAAGAGGCAGGAACAAAAGGGGAAAAAGAGAAAGAAAGAAAAAGAGAGGAAAGAGAGAAAGGAACAGAAGAAAGAAUGGAAGAGAAGAGAGAAAAGGAGGAAAGAGAAAGGAAGAGAAGAGGAAAAAGGGAGAAAGCGAAAGAAAGGGAGGAAAGAGAGAAAGGAGGAAAAGAAAGGAAAGAGAAAGGAAGGGAAGAAAGAAAAGAGGAAAGAAAAAGGAAGGGAGGGAAAAAAGGAAGAAAAAUCAAGAAAAGAGAGAAUGGGAGGAAAAGAGAGGAAGGGAGGAAAAAGAGGAAAGAGAAAAAAGGAGGAAAGAAUGGAAGAGAAGAGAGAAAAGGAGGAAAGAGAAAGGAAGGGAUGAGAAAAAAGGGAGAAAGAGAAAGGAAGGGAAGAGAAAGAAAGGGAGGAAAAGGAAGAAAAAGAGAGGGGAAAGAUGAAGGGAAGAAAGAAAAGAGGAAAGAGAAAGGAAGGGAAGAGAAAAGGAGGAAAGAGAAAGGAAAGGAAGAGAGAAAGAAAGGAGGGGAAGAGAGAAAUGGAGGAAAGAAAGAAGGAAGAGAGAAAAAAAGGAAGAAAAAGAGAGGAAACAGGAAGGGAAGAGAAAGGAAAAAAAUAAAGGGAAGAGAGAAAAGGAGGAAAGAGAAAGGAAGGGAGGAGAAAAAGGAGGAAAGAGAAAAAAAGGAAGAGAAGUGAGAGAGGAAAGAAAGAGAAAGGGAAGGAAGAGAGAGAAGGGGAGGAAAGAAAUAGGGAAGAAAAAGAGGGAAGGAGUUAGAAAAAGAGCCAGAAAAGCAAAAUGUAUUCGUAUGAAGCAAUUAUAACAAUGUAUAGAAAACUGGUGUUGACAUUGGGGAGGGGGAAAGGGGGAAAGGAGAACAAGCAUUUAUUAAGCACAUACUGUAUACCAGCACAGCCAAGUGCUUUACAAAUAUCGUGAUCCUUGCAAUGAGCCUUUGAUUCCUUAUCCCCAUUUCCCAAUUGAGGCGACAGAAAGCUGACCCUCGGAGGCUCACAGAGGGCUUUCUCUCCAUCCGGCAUCUGGUCUCGCUGGAACUUCCCCGCCUCCCUGCUGAUCAGUUGAAGGCCAGCUUUUUUCCCUCCCAAGCCCCCAGCAGCUCCCCUUCCCCAGCACGCAGAGUUCUGGGUGAUGUCAGCUAGAUGCCCACAGAGACCCCCAAAUUUGGGGGGCGCUAAUAGCCGAGGGCUUGCACGUGCACACCCCAGAAUGCCUGUGGCGCGGGCAGGAGAAGGGGUGUGCCUGUGUGUGUGCGGGCCGCCCCUCAGGGCUCUCUGUAGAGAGACUUGUAGUCUGAAUUGAGCUGUCCGCACUCUGCCCACUCUCCCAGGCAGCGGAAGCUUCCUGAGGGCAGGAACCUUGUACUUUUUGUCUUUGUCUCAUUAGCAUCCAGUGUGACAUCUUGCCCGUAGCGGGUUAAUGAUAAUAAUGGUGACGGUAAUAACUGGCAGUCUUAAGGUGCGUUGGAACAGAAUAUUGCACAGAGUCUCAUUUUCUUCCUACAGCGCUGGGAGGCAGAUGCUAAAUAAAUAAAUAAAUAAAUGCUUUUUGAAUAAGUGAAUGAGUGAAGAAUACUUGUGGGAAUGAGCGAGUAUGUAAGUGUAUGUAUGUGCGGAGGAGAAGGAGA